RNAcentral lists this ribosomal RNA (1046 nucleotides) under uncultured bacterium. RNAcentral's name for it is "bacterial SSU rRNA". It matches the Rfam family "Bacterial small subunit ribosomal RNA", at positions 336 to 1393 of the family's 1533-position model. The record is from RNAcentral.
CUCCUACGGGAGGCAGCAGUGGGGAAUAUUGCACAAUGGGGGAAACCCUGAUGCAGCAACGCCGCGUGAAGGAUGACGGUUUUCGGAUUGUAAACUUCUUUUCUUAGUGACGAAGACAGUGACGGUAGCUAAGGAAUAAGCAUCGGCUAACUACGUGCCAGCAGCCGCGGUAAUACGUAGGAUGCAAGCGUUAUCCGGAUUUACUGGGUGUAAAGGGAGCGCAGGCGGGACUGCAAGUUGGAUGUGAAAUACCGUGGCUUAACCACGGAACUGCAUCCAAAACUGUAGUUCUUGAGUGAAGUAGAGGCAAGCGGAAUUCCGAGUGUAGCGGUGAAAUGCGUAGAUAUUCGGAGGAACACCAGUGGCGAAGGCGGCUUGCUGGGCUUUAACUGACGCUGAGGCUCGAAAGUGUGGGGAGCAAACAGGAUUAGAUACCCUGGUAGUCCACACUGUAAACGAUGAUAGCUAGGUGUGGGGGGUCUGACCCCUUCCGUGCCGGAGUUAACGCAAUAAGCUAUCCACCUGGGGAGUACGACCGCAAGGUUGAAACUCAAAGGAAUUGACGGGGGCCCGCACAAGCAGUGGAUUAUGUGGUUUAAUUCGAAGCAACGCGAAGAACCUUACCAGGUCUUGACAUCCGACUAACGAGAUAGAGAUAUGUCAGGUGCCCUUCGGGGAAAGUCGAGACAGGUGGUGCAUGGUUGUCGUCAGCUCGUGUCGUGAGAUGUUGGGUUAAGUCCCGCAACGAGCGCAACCCCUAUCUUCAGUAGCCAGCAGGUUAAGCUGGGCACUCUGGAGAGACUGCCAGGGAUAACCUGGAGGAAGGUGGGGAUGACGUCAAAUCAUCAUGCCCCUUAUGACCAGGGCUACACACGUGCUACAAUGGCGUAAACAAAGAGAAGCGAACUCGCGAGGGUAAGCAAAUCUCAAAAAUAACGUCUCAGUUCGGAUUGUAGUCUGCAACUCGACUACAUGAAGCUGGAAUCGCUAGUAAUCGCAGAUCAGAAUGCUGCGGUGAAUACGUUCCCGGGCCUUGUACACACCGC